CAGGCAGCAUCAUACAGGAGUGUGAGAUUAUGCCCUCUGCUGAGCAAUACGUAUGUGCCCUGAAUCUAUCUGAGCCAGCCUUCCACCUUCAAAUCUGAAGACAAUGAACAGAAACUGUAAUGUGAACUUAUAAUAAAAAGGUAUGACUGUCAAUA
Tympanuchus pallidicinctus (lesser prairie-chicken) is the source of this 155-nucleotide long non-coding RNA. RefSeq lists it as uncharacterized. The transcript is spliced from 2 exons. The record is from RefSeq and is a predicted model, not a curated record. NCBI's taxonomy places the organism in Eukaryota, Metazoa, Chordata, Aves, Galliformes, Phasianidae.